AUUGCACUAGGGUUUCAGCUUCUUCACUACGCUUCCACCUCCCUCAUUCACAUUCUGCCUGCCUCCAUGAAGAAACCCUAGCCGCCUCCCUAUGAAGGAACACCACGAAAAAACUCACACUUGGGGGAAGAAAUUUUAGGGUUUGUUAAAGGAGAUGGUCAGAACUCAGAACGACGGCAAUGGAUUGGAAUUUAGGGUUCUUCGAUCUCGGUUUUAGGGUUUCGUGUUAACCAGGUAACUUCCUGGUCUGACUCAUUUGUGUUUCAUCAGGAUCCAACAGGUGCUCUCUAACCCUAAAAUUGAUUGGCCUUUAAUCAACAUUAAGAUUUUGAUUUGUUUUUUUAUGCAGGACUCAAGGCGCUUAAUCUAUCUGAAUGAACGAUUGAGGGAGAAAGCUCUUGAAAAGAAACCUAAAAUCUGGGACAUUUUGAAAGCUAAUGCAUCAUUCCAACAAAGCAUUAGUGGAAAAACCAUCCAAUCAGUUGCCAGAAUCAAGCUCUUGCUGCAGAGAAAAAAAAUUAUUUGACGCAAAAGUCGUUAAUGGCUCUUGAAAUGGAGAGCCAACAAGCCACCGAGUUCAUUCCCGAGUUAGAGUUCACAUUUACUUAUCCCUUUUAGUCGAAGAAAGCAGUGCAGGUUGCGAGUCUAGCCAACAAGUGACUUUGAAGCUAAUCAUCAAUAGAAUGCUAGUGUAUUUCGAUCAAUAUUGUUAGGCUGGCUGGAGUUGAAGAUUUACUAAUUUUGGCUAUCAAAACAGCUGAACAAGAGGUUAAGUGGCAGAUAGGUUUCGUGUUAAAUGUUCUAGGUCACACAAUAGUUUGACCAGAAAAUUUAUAAUGUUUUGCUAUCCAUGGACUUUCACCAACAGUGAAGUGAGGUAUCAUACAAUUUAUUUCCAAAGUUAGGUCAUCUGAGGUUAGAUGCUGGAAAAAUGGUACUCUCUUCUUAGUGGAGGAAGUGGUUGAUCCAAAUAAUACGUCUCGAAAAUUUCUAGAGCACUUGAUUGGUGGAGAAAGCGCAUUACUUCGUGGAGGUUUUUGGUUGAUAUGGAGAAUAACAGGGAGAAUGUAAAGUAACCGAAAAGAGCGUAUAAGGUCGAAGCAAAAGAUGCAAGCGAACCGUUUUUGAAAGUCCAUGGACGUCUAUAGAUCUUUUACAUUUGGUUAUGAGUUCAUAUGCUUUCAUUAUUCGCUUUUAGACCUGGGUCGAAAUUACCAAGUAGUUUUCAAGUUGAAAGAUUCUUUUCAAACGAGAUAAUGUAUUUCCUUCAUUUACUUA
Long non-coding RNA from Helianthus annuus (common sunflower), 1278 nucleotides. RefSeq lists it as uncharacterized. NCBI's taxonomy places the organism in Eukaryota, Viridiplantae, Streptophyta, Magnoliopsida, Asterales, Asteraceae. The transcript has 8 exons. The record is from RefSeq and is a predicted model, not a curated record.